This 455-nucleotide ribosomal RNA is filed under the name uncultured bacterium. Its description in RNAcentral is "bacterial SSU rRNA". It matches the Rfam family "Bacterial small subunit ribosomal RNA", at positions 340 to 786 of the family's 1533-position model. The record is from RNAcentral.
UACGGGAGGCAGCAGUGGGGAAUAUUGCACAAUGGGCGCAAGCCUGAUGCAGCCAUGCCGCGUGUAUGAAAAAGGCCUUCGGGUUGUAAAGUACUUUCAGUCGUGAGGAAGGUGUUAAGGUUAAUAACCUUAGCAAUUGACGUUAGCGACAGAAGAAGCACCGGCUAACUCCGUGCCAGCAGCCGCGGUAAUACGGAGGGUGCGAGCGUUAAUCGGAAUUACUGGGCGUAAAGGGCGCGCAGGCGGUUAAUUAAGUUGGAUGUGAAAUCCCCGGGCUUAACCUGGGAAUGGCAUUCAAGACUGGUUAGCUAGAGUCUUGUAGAGGGGGUAGAAUUCCGAUGUGUAGCGGUGAAAUGCGUAGAGAUGUGGAGGAAUACCGGUGGCGAAGGCGGCCCCGUGGACAAAGACUGACGCUCAUGUGCGAAAGCGUGGGGAGCAAACAGGGAUUAGAUACC